RNAcentral lists this ribosomal RNA (465 nucleotides) under uncultured bacterium. Its description in RNAcentral is "bacterial SSU rRNA". It matches the Rfam family "Bacterial small subunit ribosomal RNA", at positions 338 to 795 of the family's 1533-position model. The record is from RNAcentral.
CCUACGGGGCGCAGCAGUGGGGAAUAUUGCACAAUGGGCGCAAGCCUGAUGCAGCCAUGCCGCGUGUGUGAAGAAGGCCUUCGGGUUGUAAAGCACUUUCAGCGGGGAGGAAGGCGGGGAGGUUAAUAACCUCACCGAUUGACGUUACCCGCAGAAGAAGCACCGGCUAACUCCGUGCCGGCAGCCGCGGUAAUACGGAGGGUGCAAGCGUUAAUCGGAAUUACUGGGCGUAAAGCGCACGCAGGCGGUCUGUCAAGUUGGAUGUGAAAUCCCCGGGCUCAACCUGGGAACUGCAUUCGAAACUGGCAGGCUAGAGUCUUGUAGAGGGGGGUAGAAUUCCAGGUGUAGCGGUGAAAUGCGUAGAGAUCUGGAGGAAUACCGGUGGCGAAGGCGGCCCCCUGGACAAAGACUGACGCUCAGGUGCGAAAGCGUGGGGAGCAAACAGGAUUAGAUACCCUCGUAGUC